UACGUAGGGGGCGAGCGUUGUCCGGAGUUACUGGGCGUAAAGGGCAUGCAGGCGGUCCUGCGCGUUUCGAGUGACAGCUGCCAGCUUAACCGGCAGAGGGUUCGAAAGACGGUGGGACUUGAGGGCCAGAGAGGGACAUGGAAUUCCGGGUGGAGCGGUGAAAUGCGUAGAGAUCCGGAGGAACACCGAUGGCGAAGGCAAUCCCCUGGGCCUGCACUGACGCUCAUGCACGAAAGCGUGGGGAGCAAACAGG
Molecule: ribosomal RNA, 253 nt
Filed under: uncultured prokaryote
Description: partial 16S ribosomal RNA
Rfam family: Bacterial small subunit ribosomal RNA
Source: RNAcentral